Molecule: ribosomal RNA, 962 nt
Filed under: uncultured organism
Description: bacterial SSU rRNA
Rfam family: Bacterial small subunit ribosomal RNA
Source: RNAcentral
CGGCGAAAGUCGGAGUAAUACUUGAUAGUCUCUUCGGAGUAAAGAUUAUCGCUUUGGGAACGGCCUGCGGGCUAUCAGCUUGUUGGUACGGUAACGGCGUACCAAGGCUACGACGGCUAGGGGAGGUGAGAGCCUGACCCCCACCGAUGGAACUGCGACACGGUCCAUACUCCUACGGGAGGCCGCAGUCGAGAAUCUUCCGCAAUGGACGAAAGUCUGACGGAGCGACGCCGCGUGGUGGAUGAAGCGUUUCGGCGCGUAAACACCUUUUAUGAGGGAAGAAGUUUAUUGACAUUACCUCAUGAAUAAGGGGCUCCCAAUUCUGUGCCAGCAGGAGCGGUAAUACAGAAGCCUCGAGCGUUACCCGGAUUCACUGGGCGUAAAGGGUGCGUAGGCGGAUAUGUUAGUCAGAUGUUAAAUCUUCACGGCUCAACCGGAAGGCUGCAUUUGAAACGGCAUAUCUAGAAGAAGUCAGAGGUGUGCGGAACUCACGGUGUAGGGGUGAAAUCCGUUGAUAUCGUGGGGAACACCAAAUGCGAAGGCAGCACACUGGGACUCUCUUGACGCUGAGGCACGAAAGCAUGGGUAGCGAACGGGAUUAGAUACCCCGGUAGUCCAUGCCCUAAACGCUGUCUGUUAGCUUUUGGGGGAAUCGACCCCUCCAGAGGCGUACGUAACCCGUUAAGCAGACCGCCUGGGUAGUACGAGCGCAAGCUUAAAACUCAAAGGAAUAGACGGGGGCUCGCACAAGCGGUGGAGCGCGGGGCUUAAUUCGUCGCUAAGCGAAAAACCUUACUGAGGCUAGAAACCAUACUGCACGCUCUGGGAAACUAGAGAAGCCUUCGAGGGUGUAUGGCAGGUGAUGCAUGGCCGUCGUCAGUUCGUGGCUUGAGCUGUUCCCUUAAGUGGGGAAACGAACGCAACCCUCGUUGCCUGUUACAUGUGUCAGGCGAGACUGCUCC